AAAUCCCACACAGGCAAACGAUAACUGAUUAAAUACUUAAAAUAGAGAGCCAAUUACCAAAUAUUUUAUAAAGAUUAAACUUAUUUGAUACCCCAACCCCUCUUGUCUCGACUCCUUACUGAAUAAUUUUGCUGCAAUGCAUAUGCGUCACUGCACACAGGGGCGGCAGCUUUAGCUGGAAAACACGAGUGAAAACACGUGCGUCUCCUUUAAGAAUGAGGAUCCAAAUCCAUGUUUGAGGGAAACGACUGAAUUUUCUGUGAAAAUGGAUUAUCAAUGCAAAAUCGUUAUUUUGGGAUUUGUAUCUUGUCGAUGGAAAACGACACGGCGACUGAAAACAAUAAAUUGUGAGAACUGCUGACUCCAAAAUGUCUGAUUAUGUGAUUUGAUUCUGUUAACUGCCUUAAACUAAUGCUUGCGUUUACAUGGAGCUCGGAAGCAUUUGACACAGAAGGAAAUUCUUGAGAAGUUUUACCAAUUCUUAUCCGUGGAACAGAAGCAGCAGCGUAAGACAUAUGUAAAGACGAAACACAGAUGCAACACAACCUCCUACGUGAAUGUGACAAAUAGUUUUGGUAAACGGAUAUCUUGUUGCUUCAAGGCCAUGGAAGUCACGUUUCCAGCUUGUGGUGUUGUCUGUGCCACUGGAAGGAAAUCAGUAGUGGUUUAAAAUCGGCGUAUUUUUAAAUUCAUUGUAGCUACUGUUCCGCGUUACGGUUCUGCCAUUGUAUAAUUAUUAUUAUUAUUAUUAUUAUUAUUAUUAUUAUUAUUAUUAUUAUUAUUAUUAAUAAUAAAUAGCCUGAUGCCGAUAUUAUGACUAUGGUAGUAUAUUAAUUCUAAUUCUAUUAAUUUUAUUAUCCAUGCUGUUUUUAUUAAAAAUUAAAAAUUAAAUAAAAACAGGCACGUAGUAGGCCUAUAUUCAGCAUUCAGCUACAUUUGUCCUCCUUACUGUAUUUACAUUGGUCUUCAGCCGCUCGCUAUGCGAAUCCAUUCUCGGAGAGCAUUGGGAAAAGCAGUCCGUGGUCUCGCGAGGCAGGCUCCAUUCGGGAGACUGCGCGCGUUUUGUCGACGUUUUCUGGCUGUUUCGCAGAAACAACGGUCGAUAUUCUGAAAAAAACUGAUUUUAAGAAUGAGUCGGCCUGUACCCCUUUUUUCUAAUGUUAUUGGAAAUAACACGCGCUAUGUAAGCGACAUGCGUACGUGUUUAUAUGACCUGUUGUGCAUGUGCUGUUGAAAAUCAAGAACUGAAAACGUCGAGAAAGACGAACUCCUUUUGCGAUACAUUAGGCUUCUUCAGUCAACCAGCCAAAUUAUUUUUCUGUAAAAUUACUUACGCUAUCAUUCACGGAUAAUAAGCGAGUUACUUGCCAAGCUGACUACCUGGAAAGAGAACCCUAGUCUCGUUUGUCUGGCACUGCAACAUAAUAUAUUCAUACAAUGAUAUAGCCCAUUUAGCAUGUUUAUUCCAAAUGUCAUAAUUUUACAAGAUCAUCAUAUAAUAAAGAAAAUAUUUUUGCUGA
Anguilla anguilla (European eel) is the source of this 1520-nucleotide long non-coding RNA. RefSeq lists it as uncharacterized. The transcript has 2 exons. The record is from RefSeq and is a predicted model, not a curated record. Lineage: Eukaryota; Metazoa; Chordata; Actinopteri; Anguilliformes; Anguillidae.